RNAcentral lists this ribosomal RNA (433 nucleotides) under uncultured bacterium. Its description in RNAcentral is "partial 16S ribosomal RNA". It matches the Rfam family "Bacterial small subunit ribosomal RNA", at positions 29 to 507 of the family's 1533-position model. The record is from RNAcentral.
AACGAACGCUGGCGGCAGGCUUAACACAUGCAAGUCGAACGCACCUUUCGGGGUGAGUGGCAGACGGGUGAGUAACGCGUGGGAAUCUACCCUUCUCUACGGGAUAGCUCCGGGAAACUGGAAUUAAUACCGUAUACGUCCUGAGGGAGAAAGAUUUAUCGGGGAAGGAUGAGCCCGCGUUGGAUUAGCUAGUUGGUGGGGUAAAGGCCUACCAAGGCGACGAUCCAUAGCUGGUCUAAGAGGAUGAUCAGCCACAUUGGGACUGAGACACGGCCCAAACUCCUACGGGAGGCAGCAGUGGGGAAUAUUGGACAAUGGGCGCAAGCCUGAUCCAGCCAUGCCGCGUGAGUGAUGAAGGCCCUAGGGUUGUAAAGCUCUUUCAGUGGGGACGAUAAUGACGGUACCCACAGAAGAAGCCCCGGCUGACUUCGUG